This is a long non-coding RNA of Aethalodelphis obliquidens (Pacific white-sided dolphin), 1075 nucleotides long. RefSeq lists it as uncharacterized. Lineage: Eukaryota; Metazoa; Chordata; Mammalia; Artiodactyla; Delphinidae. The transcript is spliced from 2 exons. The record is from RefSeq and is a predicted model, not a curated record.
AGUGAGAGGCAGGGCCUCGCCCUCAGGCUCCCCAGGGCCCUGGCCUGCUGUGCUGGUCAGGGCUGCACGCCUGGUCUCUGGGGGUGAGCACCCCGUUGCUUCUGCCCCCCUGCGCUCUGGUGUGUCUCUUGGGGACACAGUCCUCCUCUCCCUCCUUCUCCUUCCCCUCUUCCUCCGCUCCUUGAAUUCAUUUUCCCUCUCGUUUUUUUUCUUAAAGCAUUGCCAUAUUUUUUAAAUAUUUAUUUAUUCAUUUAUUUGGUUGCGCUGGGUGUUAGUUACGGCAGGCAGGUUCCUUAGUUGCAGCUUGCGGGCUCCUUAGUUGUGGCACGAGAACUACUAGUUGCGGCAUGAAAGUGGGAUCUAGUUCCCUGAUCAGGGAUCGAAUGCAGGCCCCCUGCAUUGGGAGCGUGGAGUCUUAUCCACUGUGCCAACGGGGACGUCCCUCCCUCUGCUUUUAUAACACACUUCUUGGGCAUUAUCUCUGGUCACUCUCCCUUCCCUCUUUAGACGCCAGCCACACUGGCCUUUUUUCUCCGUUAACUUAUUACUGAAGUAUAACAGGUGCUACCCAAUCUGGGGUCCACAGACUGGUGACAUCUACAAGCCUGCUCGCCGCAGGUCUGCAAAAAUCAGGAGCUUGUAAAUCAGCUGUGACUCUGAGCACACUGGUUUCCUAGCAAGACCCCAGUGGAAACAGCAGUGCGUUGAUUUCUAUUCUGGUCAGAUUCCUGUCUCAUCGCAGGCCGGCAUCUUGAGGAGCACUGAUGCACCGUGCUUGUGGAAAAAUGCAGCACCUCCACCCUGGCUGUGACUUCUGAUUUAACGUCAUGUCUCUGUGCUGUUAUCCAUCAUAUGAUGUGGAGUCUUGUUGCGGUGUUUCUGAUGCCAUGGAAAGAGCAUGAGACUAGGGGCCGGCACGUCCGGAUUCCAGUGCUACCUCCGUCUCACACAGUGUGGUGACCGCCAGCAAUUCUCUCUCCAAAUCUGCGCCUGAGUCCCUCAUCUAUAACAUGAGGAUCAUUGCCGUUGCCUUUCUUUUGUUACAGGUUGUAGUGAAAAUAAACAAUAGAAUGUG